UGAUCAUAUUAACUGAUGUAUUUGGGAGCC
RNAcentral lists this non-coding RNA (30 nucleotides) under Mus musculus (house mouse). The record is from RNAcentral. Lineage: Eukaryota; Metazoa; Chordata; Mammalia; Rodentia; Muridae.